AGCUUUGCACAGUGGCAGUAUCAUAGCCAAUGAGGUUUAUCUGAGGCACAAUUAUUGCUAACUGAAAAAACUUCUCAUUACUCUUCUAAAAUCUAAACUUUUAUAUAUAGAUUACCAUAAGAUUUGUGGAAAGCUAUUCUAGGU
Small nuclear RNA from Artibeus jamaicensis (Jamaican fruit-eating bat), 144 nucleotides. RefSeq annotates it as U4 spliceosomal RNA. Lineage: Eukaryota; Metazoa; Chordata; Mammalia; Chiroptera; Phyllostomidae. The transcript has a single exon. The record is from RefSeq and is a predicted model, not a curated record.